This 468-nucleotide ribosomal RNA is filed under the name uncultured bacterium. Its description in RNAcentral is "partial 16S ribosomal RNA". It matches the Rfam family "Bacterial small subunit ribosomal RNA", at positions 28 to 507 of the family's 1533-position model. The record is from RNAcentral.
GAUGAACGCUGGCGGCGUGCUUAACACAUGCAAGUCGAACGGAAAGGUCCUGCUUUUGUGGGGCGGGCGAGUGGCGAACGGGUGUGUAUCACGUGAGUAUCAUGCACUUGACUGUGGGAUAACUUCUGGAAACUGGGGAUAAUACCGGAUAGGAGCUCCUGCCGCAUGGGGGGGGAUGGAAAGUUUCGGCGGUGGGGGAUAGACUCGCGGCUUAUCAGCUUGCUGGCGGGGUAGUGGCUGACCAAGGCAUUGACGGGUAGCCGGCCUGAGAGGGUAACCGGCCACAUUAGGACUGAGCUACGACCCAGACUCCUAUCGGACGCAACAGAGGAGAGUAUUGCACAACAGACUGAAGGCUGAUGUGGUGACGCCGCGUGCGGUAUGACGGGCUUUGGGUUGUAAACCACUUUCGCCUGAGACGAAGCGUUAGUGACGGUACUUGAUAAAGAAGCACCGGCUAACUACGUG